CUCAGAUUGAACGCUGGCGGCAUGCCUUACACAUGCAAGUCGAACGGCAGCGGACCUUCGGGUGCCGGCGAGUGGCGAACGGGUGAGUAAUAUAUCGGAACGUACCUUUCAGUGGGGGAUAACGUAGCGAAAGUUACGCUAAUACCGCAUAUUCUGUGAGCAGGAAAGCAGGGGGAUCGCAAGACCUUGCGCUGAUUGAGCGGCCGAUAUCAGAUUAGCUAGUUGGUGAGGUAAAGGCUCACCAAGGCGACGAUCUGUAGCGGGUCUGAGAGGAUGAUCCGCCACACUGGAACUGAGACACGGUCCAGACUCCUACGGGAGGCAGCAGUGGGGAAUUUUGGACAAUGGGCGCAAGCCUGAUCCAGCCAUGCCGCGUGAGUGAAGAAGGCCUUCGGGUUGUAAAGCUCUUUCGGCCGGGAAGAAAUCGCACAGGUUAAUACCCUGUGUGGAUGACGGUACCGGAAUAAGAAGCACCGGCUAACUACGUG
This 488-nucleotide ribosomal RNA is filed under the name uncultured bacterium. RNAcentral's name for it is "bacterial SSU rRNA". It matches the Rfam family "Bacterial small subunit ribosomal RNA", at positions 23 to 507 of the family's 1533-position model. The record is from RNAcentral.